UUUUUUGCUGUUGAGUUGUAUAUGUUGUUUGUAUAUUUUAGAGAUGAAGCCCUUGUCAGUUGCAUCAUUUGAAACAAUUUUCUCCCAUUCUGUAAGUUGUCCUUUUGUUUUCUUUUUGGUUUCCUUUGCUGUGCAAAAAGUUUGCCAGUUUGAUUAGGUCCCAUUGGUUUAUUUUUGCUUUAUUUCAGUUGCUUUGGGAGACUGACCUGAGAAAACAUUUGUAAGGUUGAUGUCAGAGAAUGUGUUGCCUAUGUUCUCUUCUAGGAGUUUGAUGAUGUCUUGUCUUAUAUUUAAGUCUUUCAUAUCUUUUUUUUUAAACUUCAUCCAAAUUUUAUUUCAGAAAUUAAUUUCCUCUCUUGUUUGCAUUUAUAAUAAUUUCCUUUCAACUAAAUUUUCUCUUUUUUAAAAGUAAAAUCUUAAUAAAAAUAUUGCUUUAAGAUAUUUAUUGGCCAUAGCAAAUAAAUCAUUUACUCUUUCCCUUCCUUCAUGCUCAAACUUCACAAAACUAAUCUGUACAGACUGCUUAUGCUCCCUUACCCUCCACCCUAGUUUCAGAUCAAACUCGGAUUCCAGCAUGAAGAUGUUAAGCCACAUGCAGACAGAGCAAUGCAACUAAAAUCUGAAUUGUGCAAAAUUGAUCUGUAUCAGCAUCUCCCUUGGUCUCUAAUAGACGUUCUCUAGCUCUCGUGGGUCAUUUUCCAUAUUGCUGGCUGUGCUUGGCUGCAUUCAGGCUCUGAAAUCCCACUUCUUUUCAGAAUGUUCCCCUUUCCUCUCAUAGGACCUUGUAGGGUCAUCUGCUGUGAUCACUGUGGCAGCCUCAGAACCCAUACCUGGCUUGGUGAAUGUUGCCUGGAGUUCUGGGCUUGCCCCUCCUCCCCAGUACAGGUCAUUCAAAAUUCUUUACUCAGCAUUCAAUGAUUAUCUACUCAUGAAAUCCAAUGGCUUUAUUUUUUUCUAAUCAUGCUUCUUGUCUUCUUUGCAUUAUUGGAUGUUGUUGACUACCUGCUUCUUGACUUUCGUCAUGACUGUGGAGUUUGACUUCCCCAUUCCUGACUUCACCUCUGCCUUCCCAACCUCCCCCAAAGGUCUCCCUCAACUUCCUUUCCCCAUGUUACUAUAUGUUUUCUCUAGUAGUUAGCGUUUAUCUGACUAGCUCCAACUAUUACUCCAAAGAAUUCAGGUCCUUGAUGUCUUCUUUUCCCUACUGUCUCAUUUUCAGCAAAUGAUCUGUGUGGCACAUCCUCUCACUCAGUUUCUUGACCUCAUUUCCACAUGCACUGGUGCUUCCCCACUCUAGUUCCGGCUCCCCUAACUCCUCUUUGUCCUCCUCUUCCUACAUGGUUAUGUGCCUUCUGAUUGCACUCCUCUUUGGUUCCUCAGGAGUUGCAGAUUGACUUCCCUAGAUCUUUAUUUUGAUUCCAGACACUUUUCCUUAAAAGACAAACAAACUGAAAACCAAAAAAAACAAACAAAUAAACAAAAAAACCUCACUCUUUUACAUCAAACUCCCUAAACUUGUAUUUAAAAUCCUCGCACUCUUGGGAGUUCCCGUCAUUGCUCAGUGGUUAAUGAAUCCAACUAGGAACCAUGAGGUUUCAGGUUUGAUCCCUGGCCUUGCUCAGUGGGAGAUCUGGUGUUGCCGUGAGCUGUGGUGUAGGUUACAGACUCGGCUUGGAUCCCGCGUUGUUGUGGCUGUGGUGUAGGCUGGUGGCUAUAGCUCCGAUUAGAUGCCUAGCCUAGGAACCUCCAUAUGCCGUGGGAGCGGCCCUAGAAAUGGCAAAAGACAAAAAAAAUAAAAAAUAAUAAAAUAAAAAAUAAAAUCCUCACACUCUUAAUAACUACCUUUCUGUUAUUUAUUAUUUCAUAAAUCCUUCCACCAGUGGCCCUGUACCCCCCUGUUUCUUCACAGAAGUUUCAUACAUGUUGCCUAAAUUAAAUAGUUUCCCCUCAUUUCUUGCUAUUGAAGUCUCACCUCCAUAGUUUAAGUUCUAGGCCCAGUGCCACCUCUUUCAUGAUACCAUUUUUAAGCACUUUGACUAGAAGUAGUGGGUUUUCCCUCUGAACUCCGACAAUUCUUUGAAUUAUUAAAGGGUCAUUUCUCAUAAUGAAUCUUGAAUUACAACUUUAAUGUGCAUAUCAACUCUCUUUUAUUCCUCUGAGUCCCCUACAAUGUCUAUCAAACCAACUUGGAGAUUGUAGGGAAUAAUAAAUAUUUCUUGAAUGAAUCGUAACUCCUUAUUUUGGAAUGUUUGGGUCAUGUCUUCUCCAGAGGUCAUAUGCAGAAAGGAGAACACAUAAAAGCUUUAUUAUUAAAUCUUAAAAUUUUCAUGCCUGUGAAUCAGAAAUUUUUACUGGUUAUUACCCUUGCUUUAUAUUUGGUUGUAAUUCAAGGUGACAGUUAAGACUUAAAAUGCCCUCUUGUCUCUGAUACUGCUUAUUUUUCCCAGGUAGUUCUGUUUACCCUUGUUUGCACCUGCAUCCAUAUUUAAGGCCCUUCCUUCAUUCUUUCCUUCUUUUUGUCUGGCAAGCAUAGAGUUGGUGAGGAGCUUUCCUCCUUACAGUAUGUUUAAACUUAAGUCAUUUACAUUCUGAGAAAUAUCCUGGGUGCUUUGGCCUCUCUUUGGUGAUGAACUCAGAACUUUGCUGUCUGCUUACACACUGUGCCUCUGGUUCUGGGAAUGAAUGGUGUCGUGAUGCCCUGAAAAUAACACUCAAAGCAAUUUAUAAUCAAAUCAGGGUUUGUCUGGAGAGUUUUUAUUAUUCUCACAUUCUUUCAAUAUAAGCUUUCAAAAUAAACUUAAUCUUGUUCAAAAGUUUAAAUGUUAGGAGUUCCCGUCGUGGCUCAGUGGUUAACAAAUCUGACUAGGAACCAUGAGGUUGCGGGUUCGAUCCCUGGUCUUGCUCAGUGGGUUAAGGAUCUGGCGUUGCUGUGAGCUGUGGUGUAGGUUGCAGAUGUGGCUCGGAUCCCACAUUGCUGUGGCUGUGGUGUAGGCUGGUGCUACAGCUCCGAUUCGACCCCUAGCCUGGGAACCUCUAUGUGCCAUGGGUGUGGCCCAAGAAAUGGCAAAAAGACAAAAAAAAAAAAAAAGUUUAAAUGGUUGUAAGUUAAUAAUUAUGGGUACAUUGGGAAUAUGUGGAACUGUGUUAGGGUUUCUAUUUAUAUCCUUUUUGAACUUUAUUAAUUUGUGCUGUCCUGCAGUUUGCUGCUUUGCAUAGAAUUCAGAACCAGUCUUGGAGAAUUAGCACUCAUAGAAACAGAAUUUUGAGGUCAUCACAUCUAUAAUCCUCAUACAGUCUCCUACUCAGGCCAAACUCCAGUGUGACUUAGUUACCACCUGUCCCUUUCAGUUUCGUAUUGCUGUAAUCACACCUCUAUAUAUUUGCAGUAGCAGUUGACUCCGGCAUGUUGUUAGAAAGUUACAGCAUGCUCAUGACAGGAAGUGGGUAUUUGAGAGGGAAUAAGACUGCAUUUGGACCUGGGCAAGGAUAGCUCUGUGCCCUUAUUAGCUGCUGUUUGUUGUUUUGUUGUUGUUGUUCUUCUUCUAAAAUAAAACACUUUAUCUCCAAAUUUGUUUCAAAAGGUUCUUUCUUUUGCCCUGAGAAGAAUUUUCAAGACUAAACCUUUCUACCUAUUGGAGAGGCUGAUUGUUAUUGAAGCAUGUGAAACAACGAAGACUAUGGGAAUCCUACUGUGUUUUUGUAAGUCAUAUAUUUCAUUUUAUGAGUAAUUUUUAUGUUUAAAAAAUCCUGCUCAUUAUAGGAAAUUUUAAAAGCAUAUAGACAGUAGAUACAUGAAAUAAAAAAUUACUCAUUAUUCACAACUUCAAUGUCUGUAAAUCUCCUUAAUGAUAAUCAUCGUUAGUACUUUGGUUACACUAACCAAAUAUAUAUAUGACAGAUAUGGUCAUAUUAUUAGUUAUGCUCAGUGUUUGUGGCAUCUCUCCCACCCGUACAGCUUCAGGGACCAAGCCCUCUAUCCAUCAGGUCUUCCCACCUAGUCGUCUGGGGAGUUUCUAAAGCAGAUUCAUGUGCCCUGAGGGAGUGAUGCACUGCCCUCCCUUCCCUGGAUACAGGUGGAAGUCUUUGGGGACGCAUCCCCAUGUCACUAUGCUCAACAACUUCAACAGUUGAAGGUACCAUCAUUCUGGAGGGGUUUCAUGGCAGAGUUCUUUGGGUUGUAGUAUGUUACAUAGGUGAGCCAACCUGCUUUAUUUGUGGGGGGAGGGCAGAUUUGAUAAAUGACCUUCCUUCUCCAUGACAGGCCAGCAGGUUGCUCCACUGGGAACAGAAUCAAUGAAGGCCAUCACUUGAAACUCAAAUUUUCUUUAGUCUGGUCUUCAUCCCUCUUGUCUGUAUCUGAUUUUUAUUGAUUUCAUCUGAAAUCCAUUUGAUAUACUAUCUUAGUGGCCAUAACCUUUAUUUCCUGACAUUUAGUUGCUUAGAUGUGCCUCUGUUUCCACAGCUUACAUGCUAAUUGCCUUGAUUAAACAUUGUGAAUUCCUACAUGAAGAAGUUUCUAUCGUGAAAGAAGUAUUAAUAAAAUAGUGAUGAAUCAAGGCACAAGGCAAUGCUGGUUGAAUGAUAAAAUUAACAAAAUUGUAUCUAUGCAGCAACUAUAUAGAACUUUCUGUGCUUAAUUGCCACGAUCCUUAAUAAACAAGCUAUAUACACAUUGGUUAGAUACAGUACUUGAGUAGGAUUCAAGAUUGACUGGAUGAAUAGGAUGCUGUUGUUGAGACCACUGACUUCCCACGUGGAAUGAAAUGUGUGCUGUACUGAAGGACUCCACCUGCUGGGUCCUGAUUUUGUUCUCACUGAGCAUAAAGAUACUAGGGAACAAAUUUGUGUAAGCCAUGAAGCUUUGAUGAGUGGUUGUUCCAUACUGAAAAGGAUGCUGUCAAUAAUCAAAUGGUAAAUACUUAUUUAAGUCUAAUAGGAUAACACUGAAUAGGAAUAAAUUCCAUAGGAUAUAUUCCAAAGGUCAAUUACAUGGACACAGGUCAGAAGAAGUAUAGGUUAUCAGUAGAGCUUGCAGAGAAAGCCAGGGAUUUUUAGUUGGGUCAACUAUCUGUGGGGAAUAAAAUGCUACAUUAACUCUCAUAGUAAUGUCAGGUGUCAUCAACAAAAGUGUUACCACUUUCAGUCUCAAAGUAGAUUGCAACUAACUUCAUGCUGGAAUACCUAGAAUGUUGUGUUCUGAUCUGGGUACUGUACUUCAGGUGAGGUGAUGAAAGACUAAAGAGGCCAGGAUGAUGACCUAGCCCCAAAUCAAGCAAUAUUAGAAAAACAAUGGCUCUGAGCUUGCACUAGUAAAAAAAAAGUUAUUGAAGCAUUAUAGCUGUCUUAAAGCAUCAAUAAUACUUGCCAUGUUCAUUUUCUAUCACUCCUGGGAGAAGAACAGGGAGAGAGAGAAUUAACAUGUAUUUGGUACCUACUGUGUCCCCAGUGUGAGUUAGUUUAAUAUCUGCCUACAAUUUCACUAAUGUUUCACAGCAACUUUAUCAAGUAGAGUAUCUUAUAGUUGAGAAUUCUGAGACACAGAGAACCUUAGAAACUUCUUCAAGGUCAUAUGCAUAGUGUUGGAGUUAGAGAAUUUGCCUUCUGUGGCAGACACACAUGAUUCUUUGGGGAGACAACUUCCCACCCUUCUCAGUCCUUGUGGUUUGGGAGGGUCUAGAUUUCCUUCCUAAAUUCAGAGGUAAGCAUGUGGUCUUUUCUGGCUCGGUCAGAACAUGGGAACUCAGGUUCUCAAUGACUCAGUCCAUGCAUGUGGGAUCAACUCUAAGGCCUUUGAUGGAGAUAUUCGGGAAGAAUCAUUCUUGCUUUUCAGUGAGAUUCUUAAAGACUAAGGUGUAAAUGUAAGCUGCUGGCAGGCAGGCAGACAUUUUGUCACCGUGUGGCAAAGAAUGGUGCCUGACAGUGGCCACCAACACAAAGGAAACAGAACUGACAGUGUCCUGCUCUGAGCAGCUGAAAUAUAUUUUAAAAUUUAAUCUUUACCAUGUAUGUGAGGAUGUUUCCAUUGUUAUCUUAAUUUUGCAAGGGAAUAAACAGAAUUAUUGAUAAAAUUGAAUUCAUAAUGCUCUUCCUAGCAGAACCAGGAUUCACACCCAGUUUUGACACAUUUCUCAGAUAUCAUUGAAUAUAUCUCUAUUUUCACUAGAAUUUUACAAAUCAAAAUAAAACUAAAUACAUGAUGAUUUUGCAGCUUUUACUGCAUCAAAUCUGAUGUUAAUUAUGAAUUUCUGGAGUUCCUGUUGUGGCUCAGUGGUAACGAACCCGACUAGUAUCCAUGAGGACAUGGGUUCAAUCCCUGGCCUCACUCAGUGGGUUAUGGGUCUGACAUUACUGUGAGCUAUGGUGUAGGUCACAGAUGUGGCUCAGAUCCCUCGUUGCUUUGGCUGUAGCAUAGGCUGUUGGCUACACUACAGCUCCAACUGGACCCCUAGCCUGGGAACUUCCAUAUGCCGCAGGUAAGGC
RNAcentral lists this long non-coding RNA (6480 nucleotides) under Sus scrofa (pig). RNAcentral describes it as "lncRNA (ENSSSCG00000057124.1)". Lineage: Eukaryota; Metazoa; Chordata; Mammalia; Artiodactyla; Suidae. The record is from RNAcentral.